This 506-nucleotide ribosomal RNA is filed under the name Limbodessus hahni. RNAcentral's name for it is "partial 16S ribosomal RNA". The stretch from base 381 to 506 matches the Rfam family "Bacterial large subunit ribosomal RNA", at positions 2473 to 2599 of the family's 2925-position model. The record is from RNAcentral. Lineage: Eukaryota; Metazoa; Arthropoda; Insecta; Coleoptera; Dytiscidae.
GUCCUUUAGAGUAGAUUUAAGGUCUAACCUGCCCACUGAUUGUUUUAACGGCCGCAGUAUUUUGACUGUGCAAAGGUAGCAUAAUCAUUAGUUUUUUAAUUGAAAGCUUGAAUGAAUGGUUGGACGAGAUAUAAUCUGUCUUUAAAUUAUAAUUAGAAUUUAAUUUUUAAGUUAAAAAGCUUAAAUAAAUUUAAAAGACGAGAAGACCCUAUAGAUCUUUAUAAAUAUAAAAAUUUAAUUUUUUAGGAUUAUAAAUUCUUAUAUUUUUUUAUUUAUUUAAUUGGGGUAAUGAAAAGAUUUAGUAAAUUCUUUUAUUUAAAACAUUGAUAAAUGAUUUGGGUGAUCUAUUAUUAUUGAUUAUAAGAUUAAGUUACCUUAGGGAUAACAGCGUAAUUUUUUUUGAAAGUUCUUAUUGAUAAAAAAGUUUGCGACCUCGAUGUUGGAUUAAAAUUAAUUUUGGGUGUAGAAGUUCAAAGUUUUAGUCUGUUCGACUAUUAAAAUUUUAC